CUCGGUGGAAGACCUUCCCUU
Molecule: microRNA, 21 nt
Filed under: Bombyx mori (domestic silkworm)
Lineage: Eukaryota; Metazoa; Arthropoda; Insecta; Lepidoptera; Bombycidae
Description: bmo-miR-2774c
Source: miRBase by way of RNAcentral